AACGAACGCUGGCGGCAUGCCUAACACAUGCAAGUCGAACGAGACCUUCGGGUCUAGUGGCGCACGGGUGCGUAACGCGUGGGAACCUGCCCUUAGGUUCGGAAUAACUCCCCGAAAGGGGUGCUAAUACCGGAUAAUGUCUUCGGACCAAAGAUUUAUCGCCUUUGGAUGGGCCCGCGUUGGAUUAGCUAGUUGGUAGGGUAAAAGCCUACCAAGGCGACGAUCCAUAGCUGGUCUGAGAGGAUGAUCAGCCACACUGGGACUGAGACACGGCCCAGACUCCUACGGGAGGCAGCAGUGGGGAAUAUUGGACAAUGGGCGAAAGCCUGAUUCAGCAAUGCCGCGUGAGUGAUGAAGGCCUUAGGGUUGUAAAGCUCUUUUACCCGGGAUGAUAAUGACAGUACCGGGAGAAUAAGCUCCGGCUAACUCCGU
Molecule: ribosomal RNA, 432 nt
Filed under: uncultured bacterium
Lineage: Bacteria
Description: partial 16S ribosomal RNA
Rfam family: Bacterial small subunit ribosomal RNA
Source: RNAcentral